GGAGGGAUGCUAUGUGAGCUAUAAAAAAGAAAUCAUUCGAUAAUUAGGCUUCGCGAUGAAAUCGGGACGAUCAGAGUUCUUCGGAGGUUGGACUUCGCUGCCCAUCGCCGUAUCUUUAUCAUUUGAGAAACAUUUCAAAUCGGAUGGGUGUGUAGUUCUAUUUUACACUGUCCAAUAAAAAUCGGACUCAUAACUA
Long non-coding RNA from Juglans microcarpa x Juglans regia, 196 nucleotides. RefSeq lists it as uncharacterized. The transcript has 2 exons. NCBI's taxonomy places the organism in Eukaryota, Viridiplantae, Streptophyta, Magnoliopsida, Fagales, Juglandaceae. The record is from RefSeq and is a predicted model, not a curated record.